This is a small nuclear RNA of Chiloscyllium plagiosum (whitespotted bambooshark), 190 nucleotides long. RefSeq annotates it as U2 spliceosomal RNA. The record is from RefSeq and is a predicted model, not a curated record. Lineage: Eukaryota; Metazoa; Chordata; Chondrichthyes; Orectolobiformes; Hemiscylliidae.
UUUGCUUUCUUGCCCAUUUGCUCAGAAGAUGUGUCGUUUCUGGUCUUGUCAGUUUAAUAUCUGAUAUUUCCCUUUCCUGGGAUCAUAAAUUUAAUAGAUUUAUGGAGCAGAAGGAUGGACUAGGGGCUUGCUCUGUCUAUUCCAUGCAUCAACCAGGUAGUGCAAUACCUCCAGGAAUUUAGGGAUAAAA